Molecule: long non-coding RNA, 721 nt
Organism: Phyllostomus discolor (pale spear-nosed bat)
Lineage: Eukaryota; Metazoa; Chordata; Mammalia; Chiroptera; Phyllostomidae
Exons: 2
Source: RefSeq, a predicted model, not a curated record
GGGGGAGGGUGGUCGGCCCCGAGUCUCCCACCUCUUCAUAUGUAAAAUGUACGGCUAUUUUUUUUUAUUCGUGUAGUGGGUGGAGGGGGUAGUUUGCCCACUCUAUCCCGGUUAACUGCUACCGACUGACAGGCGGGGAACCGCGGAGAUAGACAAAGAGAAGCCGAGGACUCUGGGGUCUUCAGGAGGGGGUCGCGCAAGCCGGCGAGCCGAUGAUUUAGAAAAAAAAAGGCGCCUUUUCCCUGGAUUUUUAACUCUGUGUGUUGGGGGAGGGUCUCGGCCUUCGUGCCCCGGCUCAGGGAGACUCCCUCGCCUCCGGGAAUCCAGGAUCGAGGGGCCCUGCGAGAGCGGGACCCGGAGGAUGGGAACGGGGAAUCGCGGUUGGGAACGAGGGAUCCGCAGGAAAUCAGAGUCUGAGCUCACUCCGACUUGUGCGCACCGCUCUUCUGCCUGCCGGUUUUAUACCGUUCGAAAGUCGGGAGUUCCAGGCGGCACGCCGCACCUUUGUCCCCCUCCCGGUUUUCCUCGCGCGUUGGAGAGAGAUGGGGCUUGGCGUGGGUGCGGGGGAGGGCUCCCAACUCGGUUUCUCGGUCUCCACCACCUUCAAACCCGACCCUCCAAAUUCGCGUUUUGUUCUAGCCAGCCACGUGUUUGUCUCGUUUUUGUUUUGGCGAUUUUUUUUUUCUCUCCAUGGGGCAAGAUAAAAUACUAUAAGCAAUUA